Long non-coding RNA from Oryzias melastigma (Indian medaka), 689 nucleotides. RefSeq lists it as uncharacterized. Lineage: Eukaryota; Metazoa; Chordata; Actinopteri; Beloniformes; Adrianichthyidae. The transcript has 2 exons. The record is from RefSeq and is a predicted model, not a curated record.
UGAACAGAAACACAGGAGCACAGUUGAAAGUUCCUCUGCUUCAGUAUAGAAUUCUUUGAACAGAACAGACAUGUGAAUAUCUAAAGUCUUUAAGUUUCCAUCAAUGAAGAACAUCAGAACUUUAAGCAGACUAUUAACCAGGAGGAAGAGGAGCUGAGAGAAGAAGAACAACAGAUGAAAGAACUGACAGAGAGAUUGAGGGAGGAGCUGAGCUGUUAGUGAACUAUAGAAGAGACACAAACUUCCACUUUAACACAGUUCAACACACAAAAGCCAAACAUCAUCUUUCUCCAACAUGCUGUCUGUGCAGACAUCUGUGUUCACUCUGCUGCUUCUAGUCAUUGGAACAGAUGUCAGCUGUGAAGAACUCACCGCAGUCAAGAAGGAAGAGUCCACUUUGGAAGGAGCUUCUGUCUCUCUGUCCUACAGAUAUAAAAAUGCUGCAACUGGUGGUGAUGAAUUUUACUGGUAUCGACAAUUUCCAGGAAAACCUCCAGAGUUUCUGAUCUCUCACACUGGGACAAAUAUAUCCACUUCACAACCAGUUCCUGGAUUUUCCUUCAAAGUGAGUGAUGACCAAAGACAAAUGCAUCUGCAGAUCUCCUCUGCUGCAGUGACAGACUCUGCUGUGUACUACUGUGCUGUGAGGCCCACAGUGACAGGAAACAACAAAACUCUGUACAAAAACU